This 253-nucleotide ribosomal RNA is filed under the name uncultured bacterium. RNAcentral's name for it is "partial 16S ribosomal RNA". It matches the Rfam family "Bacterial small subunit ribosomal RNA", at positions 524 to 776 of the family's 1533-position model. The record is from RNAcentral.
UACAGAGGUGGCAAGCGUUGUUCGGAAUUACUGGGCGUAAAGGGCGCGUAGGCGGCCCGCUAAGUCGAACGUGAAAUCCCCGGGCUCAACCCGGGAACUGCGUCCGAUACUGGUGGGCUCGAAUCCGGGAGAGGGAUGCGGAAUUCCAGGUGUAGCGGUGAAAUGCGUAGAUAUCUGGAGGAACACCGGUGGCGAAGGCGGCAUCCUGGACCGGUAUUGACGCUGAGGCGCGAAAGCCAGGGGAGCAAACGGG